UACGGGGGGGGCAAGCGUUGUUCGGAAUUACUGGGCGUAAAGGGCGCGUAGGCGGCCUGCUAAGUCGGAUGUGAAAUCCCUCGGCUCAACCGAGGAACUGCAUCCGAUACUGGCGGGCUUGAAUCCGGGAGAGGGAUGUGGAAUUCCAGGUGUAGCGGUGAAAUGCGUAGAUAUCUGGAGGAAUACCGGUGGCGAAGGCGGCAUCCUGGACCGGCAUUGACGCUGAUGAGCGAAAGCUAGGGGAGCAAACGGG
This 253-nucleotide ribosomal RNA is filed under the name uncultured bacterium. RNAcentral describes it as "partial 16S ribosomal RNA". It matches the Rfam family "Bacterial small subunit ribosomal RNA", at positions 524 to 776 of the family's 1533-position model. The record is from RNAcentral.